RNAcentral lists this long non-coding RNA (399 nucleotides) under Callithrix jacchus (white-tufted-ear marmoset). RNAcentral's name for it is "lncRNA (ENSCJAG00000078502.1)". The record is from RNAcentral. Lineage: Eukaryota; Metazoa; Chordata; Mammalia; Primates; Cebidae.
AUGUGCCUGAAUGUAGGAUUUUAUAACCUGACAGUGUGCUGGAACUUCUCAGCUGGACUCCUGGACUCCCACAAGGUAUUUGCAGCUUUCCUCCUUUCUUCCAACUAUACGUGCAGAGGCUGUAUCUCUGGAUCCAGAUGCAGCUCAUCCCGACCUCAUCCUGAGGGUAGAAGAUACAUUUCUUCAAUAAAGAAUGCUCUCCAGAACUGUAAAGCCCCCACACACUAAGGACAAGGGGAAUCUGAAACCAUCUUCAGUUUUCUGGGUUUACUACAGGGGAGACAGACGUUACUGGGAGGUAGAAGUAAACAACGGGGACAGAAGUUGGACCAGGAACAAGAUGAACUCUGGGUGUUCAUUCAGCACAACGAAGAGAGGGGGGUGGUUUGUAGAAAGUCC